GAAGAUGCAGUGUACCCGCGGCAAGACGGAAAGACCCCGUGAACCUUUACUAUAGCUUGACACUGAACAUUGAGCCUUGAUGUGUAGGAUAGGUGGGAGGCUUUGAAGUGUGGACGCCAGUCUGCAUGGAGCCGACCUUGAAAUACCACCCUUUAAUGUUUGAUGUUCUAACGUGGACCCGUAAUCCGGGUUGCGGACAGUGUCUGGUGGGUAGUUUGACUGGGGCGGUCUUCUCCUAAAGAGUAACGGAGGAGCACGAAGGUUGGCUAAUCCUGGUCGGACAUCAGGAGGUUAGUGCAAUGGCAUAAGCCAGCUUGACUGCGAGCGUGACGGCGCGAGCAGGUGCGAAAGCAGGUCAUAGUGAUCCGGUGGUUCUGAAUGGAAGGGCCAUCGCUCAACGGAUAAA
RNAcentral lists this ribosomal RNA (406 nucleotides) under Escherichia coli. RNAcentral describes it as "partial 23S ribosomal RNA". It matches the Rfam family "Bacterial large subunit ribosomal RNA", at positions 2055 to 2460 of the family's 2925-position model. Lineage: Bacteria; Pseudomonadati; Pseudomonadota; Gammaproteobacteria; Enterobacterales; Enterobacteriaceae. The record is from RNAcentral.